GAUGAACGCUAGCUACAGGCUUAACACAUGCAAGUCGCGGGGCAGCAUGUCGGUUGCUUGCAACCGAUGAUGGCGACCGGCGCACGGGUGAGUAACUCGUAUCCAACCUGCCCUUCACCACGGAAUAAUCCAGUGAAAAUUGGUCUAAUACCGUAUGAGGUCAUACGAUGGCAUCAGAAUAUGACGAAAGGUUUGGCGGUGGAGGAUGGGGAUGCGUCUGAUUAGCUUGUUGGUGAGGUAACGGCUCACCAAGGCGACGAUCAGUAGGGGUUCUGAGAGGAAGGUCCCCGACAGUGGAACUGAGACACGGUCCAAACUCCUACGGGAAGCAGCAGUGAGGGAUAUUGGUCAAUGGGCGAGAGCCUGAACCAGCCAAGUAGCGUGCAGGAAGACGGCCCUAUGUGUUGUAAACUGCUUUUAUAUGGGGAUAAAGUGAGCUACGUGUAGUUUAUUGCAGGUACCAUAUGAAUAAGGACCGGCUAAUUCCGUGCCAGCCGCCGCGGUAA
Molecule: ribosomal RNA, 506 nt
Filed under: uncultured bacterium
Lineage: Bacteria
Description: partial 16S ribosomal RNA
Rfam family: Bacterial small subunit ribosomal RNA
Source: RNAcentral